Molecule: transfer RNA, 72 nt
Filed under: Vannella croatica
Lineage: Eukaryota; Discosea; Flabellinia; Vannellidae
Description: tRNA-Lys
Rfam family: tRNA
About the family: Transfer RNA (tRNA) molecules are approximately 80 nucleotides in length. Their secondary structure includes four short double-helical elements and three loops (D, anti-codon, and T loops).
Source: RNAcentral
UUGUGUAUAGCUCAGUUGGUAGAGCGGUGUCCUUUUAAGUCAACGUCCUUGGUUCAAUCCCAGGUACACUCA